Long non-coding RNA from Notolabrus celidotus (New Zealand spotty), 176 nucleotides. RefSeq lists it as uncharacterized. The transcript has 2 exons. The record is from RefSeq and is a predicted model, not a curated record. Lineage: Eukaryota; Metazoa; Chordata; Actinopteri; Labriformes; Labridae.
CUUGAUCACAUGAUCGAGUCUGUCAGGGGAAGCUGAAGCUAAUACCACAUGGUCAGCAGACAGCUCCGGCCACCUCAGUCUUUCCUCCUUUUGAUGUGCCUUGGAAAGCUUUGCUUUUAUACAACAAUGAAUAUCUUCAGGAGAAUGAUGACAACAGUAAAGGACAUUGAACUUUC